ACGUAUAGUUUUAGUUGAAAUCGAAUAGAUCAGAGGUUAGAUUAAAUCGAGAAUCGAUGGAACUUGAACGAACAUCGGCCCCUUCGCUAUGCAACACGUUAGCUUUCAUAUCGUACUCGGAUUAAUCCCGAUAGCUCGAUCGAUGGCGAAUUUUCUCUACGCUGGAAGCGAGAUUUACUCGAAGAAACGAGACAGCCACGCACUCGGAAGAAUGGAUAGCAUCGUUAAGGGGUUACUACGGUGCGGCGGGCUGAAAAAUUCUUGGCCUGUUGUAACCCCUGAAGAGGAAUACACGAUUUGAAAGAAAUACGCCUGGCAAUGAUACGUACCCCGCAAUGAACCGUCAGCGGCUGGAUCGAGCACAGAGCCAGCAAGGGUACGAGGAACGAGAACCC
Molecule: long non-coding RNA, 395 nt
Organism: Hylaeus volcanicus
Lineage: Eukaryota; Metazoa; Arthropoda; Insecta; Hymenoptera; Colletidae
Exons: 3
Source: RefSeq, a predicted model, not a curated record